RNAcentral lists this small RNA (471 nucleotides) under Pongo abelii (Sumatran orangutan). RNAcentral describes it as "processed transcript". Lineage: Eukaryota; Metazoa; Chordata; Mammalia; Primates; Hominidae. The record is from RNAcentral.
AGGGUAGAAAAGAUGGAGCUAGAAAGGCUUAAGAGUGGUAACAUUUGGAAAUAGUGCCUUAAGGAAAGAGAACUGACAAGUCAUGGCAUUCCAGAUCCUAGUAAGGUUGGAAUCCAUAAAUUAUAGUGGUUCCAAUUUACUCUUAUGUAAUUUUCAUAGCAGUACUGCAGAGUUAAAUUGGUAAGAGUUGAGAAUAUGCAGAACAAAAAGAUUCAAAGGUUUUCCGAAAUUCUCUGUAUGCACCAGAUUAUUCAUCUCGUUUAGAUAUUGUAAGAGCAAAUUCAAAGUCACCUCUUCAGAGAUCACUGUCAGCUAAGUGUGUAUCUGGAACAGGACAGGUAUCCACUUGUCGACUAAGAAAGGAUCAACAAGCAGAAGAUGAUGAGGAUGAAGAGUUAGAUGUUACAGAAGAAGAAAAUUUUCUUAAGUAAACUACACAUUUCCAUGUUCAUCAUAAAUGACAUGAAAUCC